UAUAAUUUCCAUUGUGUUGGUCUAUACGGACUCGGUAGCUUCUGCGGUUGCUAUUGCCGCGUCUGCUGUGAAGUAUACGGCUAAACUGGAGAAGGACCGUGCCCGUCUGCUCCUUUCGUGUGCUAGCGUGGUUCCUCUCUCCAGUGGAGCGGCGGUGCAACAGCGACGAUGCUGCACGAGAUCAAACCAGAGGAAUGUGAUCCACAUUUGUCUUUGCUUCCAUGUCCACGGGAGAAAAUUGCUGAACAUUUUGUCAUCCCCAGAUUUCCUCCCCACGGUGUGGCUAUCCUUACCCGUAUGGUCUUUGCAUGAGAAGCACAGAUGGGCAUGCCGACAUGGACCAUAUCAGGUCCUUUGCAGGUUCCUUGGGUAAAGCUUGCUGAUUGUCAAUGUGAUUAGAGGGCCAGUGGUCGAAUGAUGCAUUUCCUAUAGGUCUAUCCAGUGGAGAUGGUGUCACCUGCCGGAGAAGCGAGGGGGCUAUCCCUCGAAGGGGCGGUGUGAUGGCGGUGGUAGACACCCCAGGUUGUGCCCAUCGACGCAGCAGGCAGUGUGUGGGUGAACUUCUAUAAGUUUCUCAACCACAGGCCGAACCAUCGCUCGAAAGCCGCCAUCCUCUUCCACUCCAUCAACAGGACAGCGUCUCCUGCGUUCUCGAUCCGGCGCCACCACAUAUCGUGAUUCUUGAUCGGGCACAGGUCGCGGCCAUAAGAGAGCCUCGCUAGUGUGGUCUUCAUGCUUGGUCUGGAGAAGCAUGGGAGGAUGAGUAGGACAGGCAUGGGGAAGGAGCAGCCAGGCCGGAGCUCCGGAGUCGCUCGUGUCAUGGUCGAAUGGAGCCGGCCAUCUCUAUGGGCUGCUGCUCGCCGGUCGUCGUUCCCCAAUCAGAGUUGCUCAUCUUUGGCUUCACCAUCUUCCUCCCCUGAUCAUGCAUCUAUUUUAGAUCAUAUAAUUAUGCUAUAUCAUAUAUGUUGUUUAGUUGAGACUUGUGCAUGUGCAUGCAUUGGCAUUGAUUUAGACAGAGAUAUUGCAUGAUUUGUACAUAAAAGGAGUACGGAUGAUCUAAGAAUAAAUGUUCGAAUAAAGUUAGUAGUGAGAUUUAGGUAGAGGUUACCUGCACUGUUCUGUUUUAUGUGGAUUCUAAGCUGCAAAAUCAUACAUGGUCCUGUUAGUAGUUUGUUUGAGUUGUGAGUUUACGCA
Triticum aestivum (bread wheat) is the source of this 1194-nucleotide long non-coding RNA. RefSeq lists it as uncharacterized. Lineage: Eukaryota; Viridiplantae; Streptophyta; Magnoliopsida; Poales; Poaceae. The record is from RefSeq and is a predicted model, not a curated record. The transcript has 6 exons.